UGAAUACGAGAUGCUACGGCGUCGAAGCAGUCUAUGUCAUACUUCCAAGAAAAGCUCGCACUGUCAUAAACAAAUAAUGCCUGUACCAUAACCGACACAGGUGGGUAGGUAGAGUAUACUAAGGGGCGCGAGAUAACUCUCUCUAAGGAACUCGGCAAAAUGACUCCGUAACUUCGGGAGAAGGAGUGCCUUAUUUAUAAGGUUGCAAUAACAAGAUCCAAGCAACUGUUUAUCAAAAACACAGGUCUCCGCUAAGUCGUAAGACGAUGUAUGGGGGCUGACGCCUGCCCAGUGCCAGAAGGUUAAAGAAGUUGGUUAGCAUUCGCGAAGCUGAUAACUGAAGCCCUGGUGAACGGCGGCCGUAACGAUAACGGUCCUAAGGUAGCGAAAUUCCUUGUCGGGUAAGUUCCGACCCGCACGAAAGGCGUAAUGAUUUGGAUACUGUCUCGGAGAGGGGCUCGGUGAAAUAGACUUGUCUGUGAAGAUGCGGACUACCUGCACCAGGACAGAAAGACCCUAUGAAGCUUUACUGUAACUUGAGAUUGAAAUUGGACUUUACUUGCGCAGUAUAGGUGGGAGGCGUUGAUAAUAUUCUUGCGGGAUUAUUUGAGCCAUCAGUGAGAUACCACUCUUGUAAUGUUAGAUUUCUAACUUUGUAUCAUUAUCUGGUCAAAGGACAGUUUCAGGCGGGCAGUUUGACUGGGGCGGUCGCCUCCUAAACGGUAACGGAGGCGCACAAAGGUUUCCUCUGAACGGGUAGAAAUCGUAUCUAGAGUGUAAAGGCAUAAGGAAGCUUGACUGUGAGACCUACAAGUCGAGCAGGGACGAAAGUCGGUCUUAGUGAUCUGACGGUGCUGAGUGGAAAGGCCGUCACUCAACGGAUAAAAGUUACUCUAGGAUAACAGGCUGAUCUCCCCCAAGAGUUCACAUCGACGGGGAGGUUUGGCACCUCGAUGUCGGCUCAUCGCAUCCUGGGGCGGUAGUACGUCCCAAGGGUUGGGCUGUUCGCCCAUGAAAGCGGUACGCGAGCUGGGUUCAGAACGUCGUGAGACAGUUCGGUCCAUAUCCGGUGUAGGCGUUAGAAUAUUGAGAGGAGCCUUCUUUAGUACGAGAGGACCGAGAAGGACAUACCUCUGGUGUACCAGUUAUCGUGCCAACGGUAAACGCUGGGUAGCUAUGUAUGGAGUGGAUAACCGCUGAAAGCAUCUAAGUGGGAAGCCCACCUCAAGAUAAGUAUUCGC
This 1241-nucleotide ribosomal RNA is filed under the name metagenome. RNAcentral describes it as "bacterial LSU rRNA". It matches the Rfam family "Bacterial large subunit ribosomal RNA", at positions 1564 to 2815 of the family's 2925-position model. The record is from RNAcentral.